GAUGAACGCUGGCGGCGUGCUUAACACAUGCAAGUCGAACGGAAAGGCCCCUGCUUGCAGGGGUACUCGAGUGGCGAACGGGUGAGUAACACGUGGGUGAUCUGCCCUGCACUUCGGGAUAAGCCUGGGAAACUGGGUCUAAUACCGGAUAGGACGAUGGUUUGGAUGCCAUUGUGGAAAGUUUUUUCGGUGUGGGAUGAGCUCGCGGCCUAUCAGCUUGUUGGUGGGGUAAUGGCCUACCAAGGCGUCGACGGGUAGCCGGCCUGAGAGGGUGUACGGCCACAUUGGGACUGAGAUACGGCCCAGACUCCUACGGGAGGCAGCAGUGGGGAAUAUUGCACAAUGGGCGCAAGCCUGAUGCAGCGACGCCGCGUGGGGGAUGACGGCCUUCGGGUUGUAAACUCCUUUCGCUAGGGACGAAGCGCAAGUGACGGUACCUGGAGAAGAAGCACCGGCUAACUACGUG
RNAcentral lists this ribosomal RNA (466 nucleotides) under uncultured bacterium. Its description in RNAcentral is "partial 16S ribosomal RNA". It matches the Rfam family "Bacterial small subunit ribosomal RNA", at positions 28 to 507 of the family's 1533-position model. The record is from RNAcentral.